Molecule: ribosomal RNA, 602 nt
Filed under: Cicindela (Rivacindela) sp. JP-140
Lineage: Eukaryota; Metazoa; Arthropoda; Insecta; Coleoptera; Carabidae
Description: partial 16S ribosomal RNA
Rfam family: Bacterial large subunit ribosomal RNA
Source: RNAcentral
UUUAAGGUCUAACCUGCCCAAUGAGGAUUUAAAUGGCCGCAGUAUUUUGACUGUGCAAAGGUAGCAUAAUUAUUAGUUUUUUAAUUGAAAGCUUGUAUGAAGGGUUGGACGAGAUAAAAUCUGUCUUUAUUUAAAUUAAAGUAUAAUUUAACUUUUAAGUCAAAAGGCUUAAAUGUUUAUAAAAGACGAGAAGACCCUAUAGAUCUUUAUUUAGUUAAGAUUUUAAUAAUUUAGGAUUAUUUUAAUUUGGAGUCUUAAUUGAAUUUUAUUGGGGUAAUAUAAAGAUUAAAUGAAUUCUUUUUAUUUAUGACAUUAAUUUAUGAAUAUAUGAUCCAUUAAUAUUGAUUAUAAGAUUAAGUUACCUUAGGGAUAACAGCGUAAUUUUUUUGGAGAGCUCAUAUCGAUAAGAAAGUUUGCGACCUCGAUGUUGGAUUAAAAAUUAGCUUGGGUGUAGAAGCUCAAGAUUUUGGUCUGUUCGACCAUUAAAUUUUUACAUGAUCUGAGUUCAGACCGGCGUAAGCCAGGUCGGUUUCUAUCUUUAUUCAGAUAAAAUAUUUUAGUACGAAAGGACCAAGUAUUUAAUAUAAUUAUAUUUAUUUUUU